UUAUGUAACAGGUCAAAAUGAACUGUUUAUUGAAAAUUCAUAUAUUUUCAUUACUCUUAAUAAUUCGUCUGUAAGUAAUAGAUGCCUUUAGAGGAAGUGCACAAGAAGUAGUAAAAAAAUAGAAAUGUUAAACAAUCUUCAUGCUUUUUAGGAAGUAUGAUUCACACUCUUUCUGGGUAAGAGUGAUGCUGAAUGGUCUUUGGGUCAAAACAUCACAUUCCAGAGCUAUGAGCUUGUAUUAUGGUCAAGGCUUAUGGAGAGUGAUGACUGCAUAAAAGGGAGAGAGGAGUUUGCUCCAAUUCACUCCUGCACUGCACCCCAUUCAUGGGGCAGGCAGAGAGGCUUCUUCAUUUUCGGGUCAGAAUUCUAGGUAAGAUAUUAUUUUGUCAAUUCUGUUAGUUUUGAACAAUAGUUUAUAAAGUUGGUUAACAAUGUAUUUUCUAUUGUUCGGAAUAAGAGGUUAGGUUAUAUUAAAGUGCUAUCUAUGCUAGCAUAGCAUACAUGUAUUUGUCUUAUUCUAAGGGGUUUUGUGAAUUGAAUAAUUAAUUAGUUGUGCAUCUGUCUUUGUCACUUCAGAUGAUUUUUGUGAUAUUUUAUAUUAAUUACUUGUAAUUGUAUACUUGAUUGUAGUAUGUAGUAAUAAACAUAAAAUGUGUUCGGUUCUAAUCAUAAAGUAAAACGGUUUAGUAAAAUGAUCUUUAGAGUUGAAGAUUUUGGUUAUUGAAUUGUAAAUUCAAUGUUUCAGUUUUGUGUUUUCAGAGUAAAGGGUCACAACGAUUGCUUACUAUGUGUAAUAAUUGUUACUUUCCUUUUAAAGGUAUUUGACAUGACAUUCGUGUAGCGGGUGAGGCUAUCACGAGAGGAAAUAAUAUGGUCCUCUAGGCCAGAUUGCCAGGGUUUUUUUUUUAUUUCUUUAUCUUUUGUUCCUGUACAUGUACUUGGAAAUUGUGGAAUUUUGUAUAUAACGACUCAUCGAUAUUAAACGAACCGAAACACAAGGAAUGGUGUCGUGUGUCAUCUUUCUGCAUCAGUUUCCGCGUGUUACAAGUGGCGUUGUCAGCAGGAUCGAUGUUCGUCGUUGGAUACAACCAAGUUCAAACCCUGACAAUCUGAGGAGCUCAUCCGUGGACAUCUUGAUUUGUAAAUAUGAACGUAGCUUUAACACUGUUUAAGAUGUAUUUGUGUGUGUGCAUAGUGUGAAUGCUGUAGCCAAAAUGUAGUUUGGUUUAAAAUAAUGUGGGGCUACAAGUGUAGUUAAUAGGGACUAAUACUAGUGGGAAGGUAUUUUAAGAGAUACCCUGUAAGAGUUUUCAGACCAAAUGGCUUUGGUCAAGGGAAUACUGAGUACUGUUGAAGAUUAGUUUUGUGUUGUCAUGGUAAUGCUGUGGUUUGGAACAGUCCAUGCCCCCCUUCUUAUGUAAUUUUGGCUGGUUGGAUGGGAACCACACAUUGGGGUGUAGGAAGCCAGAGACACCAGUAUUUUAUAUGUUGAUAGGAGGGAGUACAGUAUGUGCAGAGAAGCUCUGGGUUUGGCAAACAUGAUUAACUAUGAAUAGUUGAGGCGUUUCUUUGUCUGAUACUUGAAGUUUGUUAACUUUUUAAUUUUUGUUUUGGAUCUUGAUUAAUAUUCGGUUUAAUUACAUGUAAGCUAUGGCGUGAAUUAAUGUUAAUUAAUUGCUUGAUCCAGAAUGUGUAUUUGAUAGUUUUAGGGGCUACUUUGGAAAAAAAGUAGGGGAGCCCACGUGUUGAUGAAAGUGUUUUACUUUCAUGUGUCUGUGUGUUAUAAUGGUUAUCAUAUUGUAAUAUGCUGAUCUUUCUGAUUUGUAACUGGGAUUUGGCUAGGAGUACUGCUAGGUUUAGUCAGGAUAAAGUAUCAAUGUUAAUUUCGAGAACCUCAAUCUGAGACCGGGAUUGCAUUAGAGGGAUACUGGAGUGACUAUUGGGGCAGUAAGGUUUUUCUCUUUACCUUUGUUUAUCUGUUAACCUUCGAGGCCGGAAAGGACGCAGUGGUAGUUGAGAGAAUUAGUCAUAAGUUAUGAGAUUUUUCAGUGUGUUAUAUUGGUAUACCAUUGUUCCAUUUGAAAUUGCUAAGAUUUGGGGAAACAUCUAGUAAUUGUUAUUUGUUUAUUGUCUUGUAAUUCUUUAACAGUUUGAAUCGGCUUAAAGUAUAAGUAGGUAUAUUUUUGGAGGUUUAAGGAUGGCAUUGUAGUGAUUGAUUUUACUGGCUAUAAUUUUAUAAAGGUCUGUUAUUCGUUGAGAUACAUGGAUUGUGAAGGUUUAUGUUGAUAACUAAACAAUUGGUUGGUAUAAACUCUGGAGCUGUUAGGAUCAGUUAGGAAGCACUUGGAAUGUUCAAUGCUAGGAACCUCAACAUGAGACUAGUAUUACAUAAUAUGGAGUGUACUUGAAAACUGAAACAGUUGAGUUUUUGCACUAGAUAUGUUUUCUGUGUUUAUUCUCGUCACGAGACCAGGAAGUUCGUAUUAGUGGUGCGGGUUCGCCAAUACCGUGUUAUUGCCGAGAUUUUUAUAUUCUGUAUCGGGUGAUUACUGGCUUUAUAUAUUUAGUGCCAUGAUUAAUUGUAAAUUGAUUUGUUCUGUAACUGGGAACAAGCAUCUCCAGGUAGUGUUAUUUUAAGUAGGACUUUAAUUUUUGUAAUAAUUUUGGUAUAGUGAGUGCCGGGACGUCACUCAAUUAAGUAGGGGAGUAUGUAACAGGUCAAAAUGAACUGUUUAUUGAAAAUUCAUAUAUUUUCAUUACUCUUAAUAAUUCGUCUGUAAGUAAUAGAUGCCUUUAGAGGAAGUGCACAAGAAGUAGUAAAAAAAUAGAAAUGUUAAACAAUCUUCAUGCUUUUUAGGAAGUAUGAUUCACACUCUUUCUGGGUAAGAGUGAUGCUGAAUGGUCUUUGGGUCAAAACAUCACAUUCCAGAGCUAUGAGCUUGUAUUAUGGUCAAGGCUUAUGGAGAGUGAUGACUGCAUAAAAGGGAGAGAGGAGUUUGCUCCAAUUCACUCCUGCACUGCACCCCAUUCAUGGGGCAGGCAGAGAGGCUUCUUCAUUUUCGGGUCAGAAUUCUAGGUAAGAUAUUAUUUUGUCAAUUCUGUUAGUUUUGAACAAUAGUUUAUAAAGUUGGUUAACAAUGUAUUUUCUAUUGUUCGGAAUAAGAGGUUAGGUUAUAUUAAAGUGCUAUCUAUGCUAGCAUAGCAUACAUGUAUUUGUCUUAUUCUAAGGGGUUUUGUGAAUUGAAUAAUUAAUUAGUUGUGCAUCUGUCUUUGUCACUUCAGAUGAUUUUUGUGAUAUUUUAUAUUAAUUACUUGUAAUUGUAUACUUGAUUGUAGUAUGUAGUAAUAAACAUAAAAUGUGUUCGGUUCUAAUCAUAAAGUAAAACGGUUAGUAAAAUGAUCUUUAGAGUUGAAGAUUUUGGUUAUUGAAUUGUAAAUUCAAUGUUUCAGUUUUGUGUUUUCAGAGUAAAGGGUCACAACGAUUGCUUACUAUGUGUAAUAAUUGUUACUUUCCUUUUAAAGGUAUUUGACAUGACAUUCGUGUAGCGGGUGAGGCUAUCACGAGAGGAAAUAAUAUGGUCCUCUAGGCCAGAUUGCCAGGG
Molecule: long non-coding RNA, 3602 nt
Filed under: Lytechinus variegatus (green sea urchin)
Lineage: Eukaryota; Metazoa; Echinodermata; Echinoidea; Temnopleuroida; Toxopneustidae
Description: uncharacterized LOC121405672
Source: RNAcentral